This 406-nucleotide ribosomal RNA is filed under the name uncultured bacterium. RNAcentral's name for it is "partial 16S ribosomal RNA". It matches the Rfam family "Bacterial small subunit ribosomal RNA", at positions 29 to 526 of the family's 1533-position model. The record is from RNAcentral.
AUUGAACGCUGGCGGCAGGCCUAACACAUGCAAGUCGAGCGAGCGGCGGACGGGUGAGUAAUGUCUGGGGAACUGCCCGAUUGAGGGGGAUAACUACUGGAAACGGUGGCUAAUACCGCAUACCAUCGGAUGAACCCAGAUUGGAUUAGCUAGUAGGGGGGGUAAGGGCUCACCUGGGCGACGAUCGCUAGCUGGUCUGAGAGGAUGACCAUCCAAACUGGGACAGAGACACGGGAUAGACUCCUACGUGAGGUAGCAGUGGGGAAUGUUGCACAAUGGGCGCAAGCCGGAUGCAGCCAUGCCGCGUGUAUGAAGAAGGCCUUAGGGUUGGAAAGUACUUUCAGCGGGGAGGCGUUACCCGCAGAAGAAGCACCGGCUAACUCCGUGCCAGCAGCCGCGGUAAUAC